This 439-nucleotide ribosomal RNA is filed under the name uncultured bacterium. RNAcentral describes it as "partial 16S ribosomal RNA". It matches the Rfam family "Bacterial small subunit ribosomal RNA", at positions 339 to 795 of the family's 1533-position model. The record is from RNAcentral.
CUACGGGUCGCACCAGUGGGGAAUAUUGCACAAUGGAGGAAACUCUGAUGCAGCAACGCCGCGUGGAGGAUGACACUUUUCGGGGCGUAAACUCCUUUUAUAUAGGAAGAAGAUGACGGUACUAUAUGAAUAAGCGCCGGCUAACUCCGUGCCAGCAGCCGCGGUAAUACGGAGGGCGCAAGCGUUACUCGGAAUCACUGGGCGUAAAGAGCGUGUAGGCGGAUUAAAAAGUCAGAAGUGAAAUCCUAUAGCUUAACUAUAGAACUGCUUCUGAAACUCUUAAUCUAGAAUGUGGGAGAGGUAGAUGGAAUUUCUGGUGUAGGGGUAAAAUCCGUAGAGAUCAGAAGGAAUACCGAUUGCGAAGGCGAUCUACUAGAACAUUAUUGACGCUGAGACGCGAAAGCGUGGGGAGCAAACAGGAUUAGAUACCCUUGUAGUC